This 1392-nucleotide ribosomal RNA is filed under the name metagenome. RNAcentral's name for it is "bacterial LSU rRNA". It matches the Rfam family "Bacterial large subunit ribosomal RNA", at positions 1461 to 2925 of the family's 2925-position model. The record is from RNAcentral.
UAAGUACAGGGACGCUUUAGAAGUGAUGUUGCCGGGCGAUGGUUGACCCGGUCGUAAGGGAUCGGAAAUGAGUAGAGAAGUCAUCAUGGAAAGAGACAAGAAAAGCUGUAUGAAUAUCUUAGGUGCCCGUACCGCAAACCGACACAGGUAGAUAGGAAGAAGAUUCUAAGGCCAACGGGAGAAGGGUUGUUAAGGAACUCGGCGAGUUGACCCCGUAACUUAGGGAUAAGGGGUGCUCAAGUGAUUGAGCCGCAGAGAAUAGACCCAGGCGACUGUUUAGCAAAAACACAGGUCUCUGCUAAAUCGAAAGAUGACGUAUAGGGGCUGACACCUGCCCGGUGCCGGAAGGUUAAGAGGAGAUGAGAGAGCAUUGAAUUGAAGCCCCGGUAAACGGCGGCCGUAACAAUAACGGUCCUAAGGUAGCGAAAUUCCUUGUCAGGUAAGUUCUGACCCGCACGAAAGGUGUAACGAUCUGGGCACUGUCUCAACAACCCGCCCGGCGAAAUUGUAGUACCGGUGAAGAUGCCGGUUACCCGCGACUAGACGGAAAGACCCCAUGGAGCUUUACUGUAGCCUAAUAUUGGAUUUCGGUAUUUCACGUACAGGAUAGGUGGGAGACUGGGAAGCACAGGCGUCAGCUUGUGUGGAGUCGACCUUGGGAUACCACUCUUGGAGUGCUGGAAUUCUAACCUGCGGCUUUGAAGCAAGUCGGGGGACAUUGUUAGGUGGGCAGUUUGACUGGGGCGGUCGCCUCCUAAAGAGUAACGGAGGCGCUCAAAGGUUCGCUCUGCAUGGAUGGAAACCAUGCGUCAGAGUGUAAACGCAAAAGCGAGCCUAACUGCGAGAAUGACGGUUCGAGCAGUAACGAAAGUUGGAGUUAGUGAUCCGGCGGUAUGUGAAUGGAAAUGCCGUCGCUCAACGGAUAAAAGCUACCCUGGGGAUAACAGGCUGAUCUCCCCCAAGAGUCCACAUCGACGGGGAGGUUUGGCACCUCGAUGUCGGCUCAUCGCAUCCUGGGGCUGAAUUCAGUCCCAAGGGUUUGGCUGUUCGCCAAUUAAAGCGGUACGCGAGCUGGGUUCAGAACGUCGUGAGACAGUUCGGUCCCUAUCUGUCGUGGGCGUAGGAUAUUUGCAAGGAGCUGUCCCUAGUACGAGAGGACCGGGAUGGACGCACCUCUGGUGCACCAGUUGUCACGCCAGUGGCACAGCUGGGCAGCUAUGUGCGGAACGGAUAAACGCUGAAGGCAUCUAAGCGUGAAGCCGCCCUUAAGAUAAGAUAUCCCUUCUGUUUACAGAGUAAGACCCCUUGAAGACUACAAGGUUGAUAGGCUCAAAGUGUAAGCACGGUGACGUGUUUAGCUAGCGAGUACUAAUCGGUCGAGGGCUUAACCAA